Molecule: small nucleolar RNA, 212 nt
Organism: Sorex fumeus (smoky shrew)
Lineage: Eukaryota; Metazoa; Chordata; Mammalia; Eulipotyphla; Soricidae
Product: small nucleolar RNA U3
Exons: 1
Source: RefSeq, a predicted model, not a curated record
UAGGUGAUACUUUCAGGGAUCAUUUCUAUAUGCGUUUCUAGAGAAGUUUCUCUGACAGUGUAGAGCACCCAAAAUCAUGAGAGGAACCAGAGCAUCCUCUCCUGAGCAUGAAGCUGGUUCAAGGUGUCGCUUUUGCAACUGCUUUUUACUGUUGAUGCUCAUUCUUCUCUUCCUUUGGAAGAUGGAAAGAGAGAGGAUGCAGUCUGAGUGGU